ACUCGAGCAGGGCCUCGAUCUGCUCCUGGCAGGCCCGCAGGCAGUCCUGGGCGAGACGGCGCGGCUUCAGGGGCAGCCCGUCCUGGCCCCCUCCCAGAUGCUAGCGUUUCCGGACCCCGUGCCCACCGCAGAGGGACGUGGGAGCUGUGGCCCCAAACCCUGGGAACGCAAGGACGCAGCAGCCCCUCAACCCGCCCACGGCUGUAAUGCCCACACCCACCACUGGGGGGCCAGCAUGGAGGCAGAAAGUGCUGGAAACCGGCAACUCUGCCAAGCUCAAGCCCCAGGGAGCCCUUUUGAAGCCUCCAUUUACUGACCAUCCACAUUGUUACCCAAACAAAGCUCAGCCGGGCCCCAACUCCACAGAUCACUGACCCAGACGAGGGGCUGCGGCCCCUGCCCGCUCCGGCAGCCCCAGGGGGACGUGGGAAUCCGGUUCCCAGCGGCGCCCCCCAUGCAGGCGGCUGAAGCCCGGCCGCCCGGUUACGGCGGCACCAGGAAGCCCCCCGUCCUGGACCCCCAGGGACGGCCACUCACCGGGUCACACUUGAUCACCCUGGAGAGGAAGCGAGUGAGGCGGUGGUAGGAGAGAGAGCCACUGGUGCUUCCCAGAUGCAGGCCCUGCACAGCGGCCACCACGCUGCCCGCCGCCACCAUGGAGGGCGGGUUUGAAAUGAACUUCACGUCUGCGGACAGGAGAGGGGCAGGGGGUGUGUGUGGGCUGACACCGUGCACUUGGGUCAGCACAGGGCCCCUGAGGCCUCAUGGGGUGGGGGCACCCCCCAAGCGUCCCCUCCCAGUGAUGGCCAGGCCUGGGAUAGCAGCUCGGUGGGAUGGGGGGCACACGCGCCAGCUGCGUGGCUGUCUGAGGUCCUCUGCACACUCCUGCCCUCGAUGCUAGGAAGGGCCAUGGCUGGGGGCUCGGGAAUCUACAGCUAACGGGAAAAUGGAGCAAAAAACCCGUCAGCUUCAGCAAAUUAAAACAUCAGAACAAGAAG
Molecule: long non-coding RNA, 998 nt
Organism: Choloepus didactylus (southern two-toed sloth)
Lineage: Eukaryota; Metazoa; Chordata; Mammalia; Pilosa; Megalonychidae
Exons: 3
Source: RefSeq, a predicted model, not a curated record